RNAcentral lists this ribosomal RNA (468 nucleotides) under uncultured bacterium. RNAcentral's name for it is "partial 16S ribosomal RNA". It matches the Rfam family "Bacterial small subunit ribosomal RNA", at positions 28 to 507 of the family's 1533-position model. The record is from RNAcentral.
GACGAACGCUGGCGGCGUGCUUAACACAUGCAAGUCGAACGGAAAGGCCCUGCUUUUGUGGGGUGCUCGAGUGGCGAACGGGUGAGUAACACGUGAGUAACCUGCCCUUGACUUUGGGAUAACUUCAGGAAACUGGGGCUAAUACCGGAUAGGAGCUCCUGCUGCAUGGUGGGGGUUGGAAAGUUUCGGCGGUUGGGGAUGGACUCGCGGCUUAUCAGCUUGUUGGUGGGGUAGUGGCUUACCAAGGCUUUGACGGGUAGCCGGACUGAGAGGGUGACCGGCCACAUUGGGCCUGAGAAACCGCCCAGACUCCUACGGGAGGAAGCAGUGGGGGAUAUUGCACGAUGGGCGGAAGCCGUAUGCAGCAACGCCGCGUGCGGGAUGACGGCCUUCGGGUUGUAACCCGCUUUCGCCUGUGACGAAGCGUGAGUGACGGUAAUGGGUAAAGAAGCACCGGCUAACUACGUG